UAUUUAUUUCCUAACACCAUUCAGUAUGUUAUAUUGAAAUAUUCACAAUUAAAUAUAAUAUGCUAAGUGUGCUGUGUAUUAUUCAAUAAAUAUCAGAUAAGAUCAGGAUCAGAUAAGAGAUCAAUUAGCAUCAUAAACACUAAUCCCUAUCAGUGCUCCAUCUAGCCAAAACAAAGGGGUGUUUAUAGAAUUUUGAUUGGUUCUGGGACCAUCUAUUUGAAAACAAACCACUUUUGAUUGGUUGGAGCACAGAAAGUUAUUUGGAGCACAGGAAGUUAUUUUUGUAAACAAUUUGGUUUCAGCAACUUAAAUUGAGCUAGAUUUUUAGGUAUAAUUCAGCAACAUUAAUUCUAGUGUCAAAUGUCUUGAAAUUCUUUCAGCACAUGAACUAUUGUGUGAUGAAAACAAUGUGUAUUUACUACAAUGUGUAAAUCAACAAUAAGUUUGUUGCAAAGAAGAUUCAAAGUGGGUGGUUAAAGUGAUCAACAACUGCCGUUUUUGUUUUUUUGGAAUGCUGAAGAACAGCUGUAACAGGUUUGUAUUUUCAUUUCUGCAUCUCUUUUUAUUUAAAUUAAUUAUGAUCAUUAUCAUAUUUAUGUAUUGUCACUGGAAAAUGUAACUGGAUGAGUAAAUGUAAUGCAAUUUUAAGGAAAAAAACACCAUUUGAAUUAUUAUGGCUGUAUUUUAUGGUUAUUGUCAUCUUAAAAUUUAUUUAUACCUAUUUCUUGUCAUUUAUGAACAGAUUUCUUUCCCCCAUAUUUAAUCAGAACUUUAAUAUUUUAUAUUUGAAGGUUAAACCCCAAGGUGAAAUUUACAUUGAUCGGAAGAUCCAUUGGACAGAAUGUGCAUCAUCGCCUGCCAAAAAAGGGAGCAAAAAGGGGACUACCUGAUGUAUGGACAUGUAUACCAGGCCAACUUGAGGGGAACAGGAGUGGGAAACCGUGCCCUGUAGCUUGUCCUUGACCAAGAAAAGAUGGAUUUGUUGAGAGGACCUGAUCUCAAAUGAGAUCAUGCACGAGAAGCGCCUCGCAGACCAUGACAGUAGUAUUCAGACCUGGUCAGCUGGUGAAGUGCUCUAUAAAGGGUUGUUAAUGAAUGCAUUCUUUGUAAGAAACAGUGUAUAACAACAAAUAUAGUGACAGGGGCUAAGCUGCUAAAUAUUGUCAGCAUGUAUGCAGUGAUUUUCUUUGGAAAUUCAAAACAACCUGUACGUACUGGCUCUCAGAAGGGCAUGUUUUAGCGCAAUAAUGAACAAAAAAAGGAAGAUCUUAAAAAUAAGGUAUAGAUUUAUAUAAAUUUCAUGAAUACUGUUCAUUUAUCAUAUAUUAGGAUCCAGAAUAUGAUUGAAUUAAAUGUACUGCUUUUGUCCAUAUUAAAAAGGAAUUAAUGUAAUAUAUAAAAAUCUAGUAAAUGAUAGGGAAAACAUUUCAGCUUAAGGAGGGGAAAUCUUUAAUAUUUUUGAAGUGGAAACCACCUGUAUUUGGCUGUUAAUCAGUUACCGAUAAUCAGGGGGGAGAAAAAUCACUGGUAUGAGCUUGAUAUUUUCAAUUGUUAAUUCCAGAUAGGCAAUAGCCCGUUUGAAUCCUCUCUUUUAUGUAGAUAUGUAACAUUUGUUUUUGUUUUUUAAGGUUUAACAUUCUAAUAAAAGUGUGUAUUUAUCUAUUGAAUUGUACUUUUUGUUUUUUAUGUAUGUGUUUACACUAACCUUUCAUUUAAAGAAUGAA
Long non-coding RNA from Dreissena polymorpha, 1724 nucleotides. RefSeq lists it as uncharacterized. The record is from RefSeq and is a predicted model, not a curated record. Lineage: Eukaryota; Metazoa; Mollusca; Bivalvia; Myida; Dreissenidae. The transcript is spliced from 2 exons.